This 768-nucleotide ribosomal RNA is filed under the name uncultured Bacteroidota bacterium. RNAcentral describes it as "bacterial SSU rRNA". It matches the Rfam family "Bacterial small subunit ribosomal RNA", at positions 568 to 1340 of the family's 1533-position model. The record is from RNAcentral. Lineage: Bacteria; Pseudomonadati; Bacteroidota.
AGCGUAGGCUGUCUGGUAAGCGUGUUGUGAAAUGUAGGCGCUCAACGUCUGAAUUGCAGCGCGAACUACCGGACUUGAGUGCGCAGGAAGUAGGCGGAAUUUGUGGUGUAGCGGUGAAAUGCUUAGAUAUCACGAAGAACUCCGAUUGCGAAGGCAGCUUACUGUAGCGUUACUGACGCUGAAGUUCGAAAGCGCGGGUAUCGAACAGGAUUAGAUACCCUGGUAGUCCGCACGGUAAACGAUGGAUGCCCGCUGUUGGUCUGAACAGGUCAGCGGCCAAGCGAAAGCAUUAAGCAUCCCACCUGGGGAGUACGCCGGCAACGGUGAAACUCAAAGGAAUUGACGGGGGCCCGCACAAGCGGAGGAACAUGUGGUUUAAUUCGAAGCAACGCGAAGAACCUUACCUAGACUUGACAUCUCCUGCAUUACUCUUAAUCGAGGAAGUCCCUUCGGGGACAGGAUGACAGGUGGUGCAUGGUUGUCGUCAGCUCGUGUCGUGAGAUGUUGGGUUAAGUCCCGCAACGAGCGCAACCCUUAUUGUUAGUUGCCAUCAUUAAGUUGGGCACUCUAAUGAGACUGCCGGUGACAAACCGGAGGAAGGUGGGGAUGACGUCAAGUCAUCAUGCCCCUUAUGACUAGGGCUACACACGUAAUACAAUGGCGGUCAACAAAGGGAUGCAAAGCCGCGAGGCAGAGCGAACCCCAAAAAGCCGUCCCAGUUCGGAUCGCAGGCUGCAACCCGCCUGCGUGAAGUCGGAAUCGCUAGUA